Molecule: ribosomal RNA, 39 nt
Filed under: Aotus nancymaae (Ma's night monkey)
Lineage: Eukaryota; Metazoa; Chordata; Mammalia; Primates; Aotidae
Source: RNAcentral
UGAACCUUCCUGAUCUUGUCUGAUCUCAGAAGCUAAGCA